AACCUGGCGGCAGCUACACAUGCGAUCAAGCGCGCCUUCGGGUGAGCGGCGGACGGGUUAGUAACGCGUGGGAACGUGCCCUUCUCUACGGAAUAGCCUCUGGAAACGGAGAGUAAUACCGUAUACGCCCUUUGGGGGAAAGAUUUAUCGGAGAAGGAUCGGCCCGCGUUAGAUUAGGUAGUUGGUGGGGUAACGGCCUACCAAGCCUACGAUCUAUAGCUGGUUUUAGAGGAUGAUCAGCAACACUGGGACUGAGACACGGCCCAGACUCCUACGGGAGGCAGCAGUGGGGAAUCUUAGACAAUGGGGGCAACCCUGAUCUAGCCAUGCCGCGUGAGUGAUGAAGGCCUUAGGGUCGUAAAGCUCUUUCGCCUGUGAUGAUAAUGACCGUCGCAGGUAAAGAAACCCCGGCUAACUCCGUGCCAGCAGCCGCGGUAAUACGGAGGGGGUUAGCGUUGUUCGGAAUUACUGGGCGUAAAGCGCGCGUAGGCGGAUUAGAAAGUGGGGGUGAAAAUCCCGGGGCUCAACCCGGAACUGACUCAAAACUGUAAGUCUAAGUCGAGAGAGGUGAGUGGAAUCCGAGUGUGAGGUGAAAUCGUAGAUAUUCGGAGGAAACCAGUGGCGAAGGCGGUCACUGGCUCGAUAUGACGCUGAAGUGCGAAGUGUGGGGCGCCAACGGAUUAAUACCUGUUGUCCACCGUAACGAUGAUGCCAG
Molecule: ribosomal RNA, 715 nt
Filed under: uncultured Alphaproteobacteria bacterium
Lineage: Bacteria; Pseudomonadati; Pseudomonadota; Alphaproteobacteria
Description: bacterial SSU rRNA
Rfam family: Bacterial small subunit ribosomal RNA
Source: RNAcentral